GCCAAAGCCAGCUACAGAUUGGCACCGAGUUGCACUUGUUGUCACGCUCCCUCCCCAUGGAUCACAUUUGCUCCAAGAUGUUCUGGGUAUUUCCCGUCUCAGUUUCUGCUUUCCACUGUGGGUUGCCUCCCCCUGGAAUGAGUUGUUAACACUCCAGUCUCUACGGACGCCGCAAACAAAGCAGCUGCUGCUGGCUACUCCCAUCCCCCUGGGCCUGUACACACUGCUAACCCAUUGCGGUGCAACCUGCGGUGGGGUUGUUGAGCCCAUCUCGGCACGGCGCCAACCCACCACUGCCUUCACCUUGGCUGCGAUCCUGAGAAGAGGCUGCAGUACCUAUUAAUCAUAAACCCUGCUGAUUAAACCCAUCUAGCUAUUUCACUAGCUACAAGCAGAGGCAAGGGCUGACCUGGAAGCAGCUUUGUCCUGCCAUCCAGCUGCCUGGCCAUGCACACAAAGCCAAGGAAAGAACUGGGUCUUCAUCUCUGUUUAAUUUGUUGCUGGUCAUGGGAUUUCCACUUGCAUGUCGCUGUGGUAUAACACGGCCACGUGUGGGAUUUUUCAGAAUGACAGAAGCUAAAAACUUCCACCAAGCCCUGAACAAGCCUGUUAAAACCUCCACUGAACAUAGGCAGGGGUAAGUGAAGAAGGAUGGACCCUGUUCCUGUGCUGCAGACACCCUGCUUCAUGCCCUGGGAAAAGGGUAUGUCAGGAUCUCAAGCACAAGUCCAGAGCUGUUUAGAAAAUGAAAACCAAAGCUCCCUUGAACAUCUUUGUUUCUAUUCUUAACCACAAUUUCAUUUGCAUUGAUGUUUCCUGACCAAUUCUCUCCUCAAAAUAAUUGAUGGGAAAAAGAUCAAGAGGUGUAAUUAAAAGAGAAACAAACAGAAAACAAAGGGAAGAGGGUAAAUGGGCAUGUGACUUUGGGUCAGGGAAGGAAGAGGAGCAGGUGGUAGAACUGAUGAGGGAGAUUUAAUGAACUGCAAUUGACUUCAAAUAACAAAGGAGGAGGAACCUAAUCCUACCAGUUGGAUCUGUACACAUAUGGACUUAUCAUAACAAAUGGUAAUCAAUCCAUCAGCCUUAAAUUAAAGAUAAGGUGGGCAGGAAGGAAGGGAUGGAAUUUAUUCUCUUCUUCCCAUCCCUCCCCCCACCAAACUAAAUCUGUUUGCAUGUGUCCAUGUCUUUGUUGUCAGAAUUAGCGUCUGUCAUCUCUCCAUUCUCAAUGAAAGCAGUCACCUUCCCGUGCUUCACUAUGCCACUGAGGACAGGCCCCUUUAGAAGCUUCCCCAGGAAUUCAGGCUCCUGGUUACCCUGAUUCUGCAGUGUGUUUCACUUGACACUGAUCAAGGCUCAGCAGCCUCAGAAAUGUGCUUGUAGGACUCUGCGUGUAAACGCUCGCUGAGCUUUAAUCAAAUGCACAUCACAGAGAGUCCUGCGUGACAGAAAGCAGAACCACCAGUGCUCAGACCUGCCAAGAAGAGCCUCAUCUGCAAUACAAGCAUUUUUCCUCUUUUGUAUCAUUUUGGCCCUGGCUUUCUCAUUCUAGUACAAGCUGCAGAAAUAUUCUAGGAUUUAUAUGUUAUCUCCUUGUCUCAAGCUGAAGACAAAUUCACUAUGCUUUCUAAAUAUAUACCCAGGUUUUAUGAAUCCUCAUUAAGUUUUCAAGGAUAAACUUUCUAUUUUAAGGUCUGGAUCAUCCAAAGAGAGCUGCACAGCUGGACACCCCUUUCCUACAUAUUCAGGGAAGCAUGUCUGUGCACAUGGGUUUUUUUGUAGGAUUUGCCCCACAUUUGGCCUGGCAGGAAGUUUCUCCCAAAUAAAAUGUUUCUAAUGUGGUGUUUCCA
Molecule: long non-coding RNA, 1847 nt
Organism: Junco hyemalis (dark-eyed junco)
Lineage: Eukaryota; Metazoa; Chordata; Aves; Passeriformes; Passerellidae
Source: Ensembl